CGAGUGGACCGGGUGGUCGCUCGCCGGUCGGUGACGGCGGUGACGUCGGCGCUGGCCACGGGAGGAAAGUCCGAGCUCCAUUGGGCAAUGGUGCUGGCUAACGGCCAGCGGGGGCGACCCCAGGGAAAGUGCCACAGAAAGCAGUCCGCCUCCCGCAUCGCGAGAUGUCUGGAGGUCACGGUGAAAGCGUGAGGUAAGAGCUCACGGGCUCCCCCUGGUGACUUGGGGGGCCGGUAAACCCCACCUGGAGCAAGAUCGAACGCGGGGCUGGACCUCAUCUCAAGGUGAGCCCACGGACGGCCCGUCCGAGUACCCGCGGGUGAAUCGCUCGAGCGGCGCGGCAACGCGACGCCCAGAUGAAUGACCAUCACGGCCCCGAGAGCGAUCGAGGGGUCGGACAGAACUCGGCUUAGAGGCCGCUCGCCCU
This 427-nucleotide RNase P RNA is filed under the name Deltaproteobacteria bacterium. RNAcentral describes it as "RNase P RNA component class A". It matches the Rfam family "Bacterial RNase P class A". Rfam says of the family: Ribonuclease P (RNase P) is a ubiquitous endoribonuclease, found in archaea, bacteria and eukarya as well as chloroplasts and mitochondria. Its best characterised activity is the generation of mature 5'-ends of tRNAs by cleaving the 5'-leader elements of precursor-tRNAs. The record is from RNAcentral. Lineage: Bacteria; Pseudomonadati; Myxococcota; Myxococcia.